RNAcentral lists this ribosomal RNA (253 nucleotides) under uncultured bacterium. Its description in RNAcentral is "partial 16S ribosomal RNA". It matches the Rfam family "Bacterial small subunit ribosomal RNA", at positions 524 to 776 of the family's 1533-position model. The record is from RNAcentral.
UACGGAGGGUGCGAGCGUUGUCCGGAAUCACUGGGCGUAAAGGGCGCGUAGGCGGCCUGAUAAGUAGGGGGUGAAAUCCUGCGGCUUAACCGCAGGGCUGCCUUCUAAACUGUCAGGCUUGAGCACAGUAGAGGCAGGUGGAAUUCCCGGUGUAGCGGUGGAAUGCGUAGAGAUCGGGAGGAACACCGGUGGCGAAGGCGGCGACCUGGGUAGAUACUGACGCUGAGGUGCGAAAGCGUGGGGAGCAAACAGG